AAGACCUUACUUCAUAGGAUCAUUCCUAUAGUAAGCUCUUCCCGAGAUCUUCACAACAUAUAUCAGCUGUCCGAUACCCAUAAUACAGGCUUUGCCUAGCUUUGAUCGGU
Small nucleolar RNA from Plutella xylostella (diamondback moth), 110 nucleotides. RefSeq annotates it as small nucleolar RNA U3. The record is from RefSeq and is a predicted model, not a curated record. Lineage: Eukaryota; Metazoa; Arthropoda; Insecta; Lepidoptera; Plutellidae.